RNAcentral lists this ribosomal RNA (1170 nucleotides) under Mesorhizobium sp. RNAcentral's name for it is "partial 23S ribosomal RNA". It matches the Rfam family "Bacterial large subunit ribosomal RNA", at positions 1 to 1213 of the family's 2925-position model. The record is from RNAcentral. Lineage: Bacteria; Pseudomonadati; Pseudomonadota; Alphaproteobacteria; Hyphomicrobiales; Phyllobacteriaceae.
GUUAUAUGGUCAAGUGAAGAAGCGCAUACGGUGGAUGCCUUGGCAGUCAGAGGCGAUGAAAGACGUGGUAGCCUGCGAUAAGCUUCGGGGAGUCGGCAAACAGACUUUGAUCCGGAGAUCUCUGAAUGGGGGAACCCAACCAGCACAAGCUGGUUAUCUUGCACUGAAUACAUAGGUGCAAGAGGCGAACCAGGGGAACUGAAACAUCUAAGUACCCUGAGGAAAAGAAAUCAACCGAGAUUCCCUUAGUAGUGGCGAGCGAACGGGGACUAGCCCUUAAGUGGCUUUGAGAUUAGCGGAACGCUCUGGAAAGUGCGGCCAUAGUGGGUGAUAGCCCUGUACGCGAAAAUCUCUUGGCCAUGAAAUCGAGUAGGACGGAGCACGAGAAACUUUGUCUGAAUAUGGGGGGACCAUCCUCCAAGGCUAAAUACUACUGACUGACCGAUAGUGAACCAGUACCGUGAGGGAAAGGCGAAAAGAACCCCGGAGAGGGGAGUGAAAUAGAUCCUGAAACCGUAUGCGUACAAGCAGUGGGAGCAGACUUCGUUCUGUGACUGCGUACCUUUUGUAUAAUGGGUCAGCGACUUAUUUUCAGUGGCGAGCUUAACCGAAUAGGGGAGGCGUAGCGAAAGCGAGUCUUAAUAGGGCGUCUAGUCGCUGGGAAUAGACCCGAAACCGGGCGAUCUAUCCAUGGGCAGGUUGAAGGUUAGGUAACACUGACUGGAGGACCGAACCGACUACCGUUGAAAAGUUAGCGGAUGACCUGUGGAUCGGAGUGAAAGGCUAAUCAAGCUCGGAGAUAGCUGGUUCUCCUCGAAAGCUAUUUAGGUAGCGCCUCAUGUAUCACUGUAGGGGGUAGAGCACUGUUUCGGCUAGGGGGUCAUCCCGACUUACCAAACCGAUGCAAACUCCGAAUACCUACAAGUGCCGAGCAUGGGAGACACACGGCGGGUGCUAACGUCCGUCGUGAAAAGGGAAACAACCCAGACCGUCAGCUAAGGUCCCAAAGUUAUGGUUAAGUGGGAAACGAUGUGGGAAGGCUUAGACAGCUAGGAGGUUGGCUUAGAAGCAGCCACCCUUUAAAGAAAGCGUAAUAGCUCACUAGUCGAGUCGGCCUGCGCGGAAGAUGUAACGGGGCUCAAACCAUACACCGAAGCUACGGGUAUCACG